Alosa sapidissima (American shad) is the source of this 414-nucleotide long non-coding RNA. RefSeq lists it as uncharacterized. Lineage: Eukaryota; Metazoa; Chordata; Actinopteri; Clupeiformes; Clupeidae. The record is from RefSeq and is a predicted model, not a curated record. The transcript is spliced from 4 exons.
ACUCUAUGGUACCAUAUCUCUAUAUAUAUUAAUGUGGCGUGGUGGGUAAAUGUUCUUGUUGUGUCGUGCUCGAUGUGGGGAAGCGUUGGCCUUACAAAUGGAACGAUUGAAUGUGGAGUGGUUAUAUUGCCCUUGCGUGGUGGUUGAUCUUGUUUAUAAUUGUUGCACAUGUUCCUACUCGGGAUCCGUAACAGGUUUGUAUUGGAAGCUUCUCCCUUGAAGUCAUGGAGACUGCAUCAGUUGGAACAAGUAUAUCCUAAUUAUGUGGUUUCGGAUUAAUGGUGUAAGGGACACGGUUGCAACGUGAGUAUAUUUAAAUAGGUGUCUAGACAAGUCAGUCAGCCAGUAACAGAGAUAUGAUUAUUCCAAUUAGGAAGAUGGCAAUUGUAUAAAUGUGACGUGGGGGGGGGGGGG